Molecule: long non-coding RNA, 367 nt
Organism: Mytilus californianus (California mussel)
Lineage: Eukaryota; Metazoa; Mollusca; Bivalvia; Mytilida; Mytilidae
Exons: 3
Source: RefSeq, a predicted model, not a curated record
GUUUAUGACCCAAAAGAUUUGACAUACGAUCACCUGACUGGUUUUCAUACAGAUGCAGUGUUUUUGCAUGAAAUGGAAAUGAUGAUAAAGAAUCAAGGAACAGACAACAGAAGAUCUGAUGAAAAAUCGGGAAAAGUAAAUAAAAUGAAAGAAGAAGAUAAUAGGAAAACAAAACAGACAGAAAAAGAAAACAAUCAAAAGUAACUAAGAUGACCACUGAUUUAAUUGGAAUGUGUAAAUGCACGAGUAUGCCUAUGCAAUGGUGAUGUGGUUACCAUAUCUCCAUGAAAAUAUAGAUAAAUAAACAAAAUAUACCACGUUCGCAUAUACUUAUAGUAUUUUUUAAAUUCCGUAACGUUUUGUUCUU